RNAcentral lists this long non-coding RNA (403 nucleotides) under Erythranthe guttata (spotted monkey flower). RNAcentral describes it as "long non-coding RNA (EGUT_LNC002708)". Lineage: Eukaryota; Viridiplantae; Streptophyta; Magnoliopsida; Lamiales; Phrymaceae. The record is from RNAcentral.
ACCAUUGUACUUGUUGUACUAAUUACGCUACAUGAUCAAGAAACAUGGAGAAAUUAAAAUAUAUUUGAUGUUACUGACAGGUGAAAGCGCGGAGGUGACAGCUGACGGCGAAGGCGGCCAUAGUCAUGGUUACGGGUAUCCGGGCAAGGGCCACGGUGGUGGUGGUGGAGGAAAGGGAAAAGGUGGGUGCAGAUAUGGGUGCUGCCGUGGAUACAGAUAUUCACAUGGUUGCAAUAGGUGUUGUUCCACUGCUAAUCAGGCUCAUGAUCUUCAUUUUGCAGAUGAUAUCCCCAAUUAAUUAUUAAUAUUUAUUAAUUAAUGUCCCUAUUUCUAUAUAUAUAUAUAUAUAAUUCGAGUUUUUGUUUGUUCGUGUGAUAUAUGUGUAAUAAUUGGGAUAGAAAAA